This 200-nucleotide unclassified non-coding RNA is filed under the name uncultured fungus. RNAcentral describes it as "sequence contains ITS1". Lineage: Eukaryota; Fungi. The record is from RNAcentral.
UUAACUAUUUUAUGGUACUCAGACGACACUAAUAUUCAGAGUUUGGGGUCCUCUGGCGGGCGCUUACCAGCCGGAGCCGGUAGCCUGACCGAAGCCUGACGGCCUGCCAAAGCAACAAAGGGAAUAUAACAUAGGGUGGGAGAUCUACCCGUAAGGGCAUGAACUCGGUAAUGAUCCCUCCGCAGGUUCACCUACGGAGA